ACACUAGGGAUGCUGUGGCUUAUAGAAUAAAACAGAAGCCCAAAACUUGUUUGCAGUUGAAUACCGUCACGCUCUAUAAAACAGGGGAGCUUACUCAGAUUAGUAGCCAGGUUGAUACACACAUUCUGAUAGACCCGGGAAACUUUACAGAUAUUUAAGAUGGGAGUUCAGAGUAUAUCUUACGUGGUUAUUGUCGCCAUCUUGGCUACAGUUCAAGCUGAUUGGUUUUCAGACCCAGAGUGGUCUUUUCAGGUGUACAUGAACGAAAACACCAGUUUACGCUGCAACGACAGUUUAGUAAAUAUUCAUCCGUCAGCCGAGCUCUGGUGGCAUUUACCAAGCGGUGCUAAAAUCCACGGCUACUCAUUACAGAGAGAUGAGAAAUACGAGUUAAUGGACGACAACGGACUCCGAGGCGGUAUACUCAAGAUCAAAAACGUUAAAUCCAGCGAUCACGGAUUAUAUAUCUGUAUGGUUUACAAUGGAAGCGAAAGGAUCCACAAGAUAAAUCGUGGGCUCAAUCUUUAUGGACAUUUGGACAGGGACAAUUUUAAUCUUUAUCGUACACAGGUGAUUGUGGCUUUUGUAGCUGCUUUAGUCUUCGUGGUGCCGCUUUUGGCAAUUUGCUUCAUAUACCACUUCCGGUACAUGAGCGACGCCGAGAAAGAGCGUAAGCAAAACAGUGAGAAAUAUUUCAGUGAACUUCAUCAAGCUCUGCAAAAUGGCAGCGAUUAUCCGACAAAGCCAUACCAGCACUAUGAUAACCCCUCUUAUGAUACGCAUCUUUAAAGUCUCCAAAUCACUCAGGCUCUUUUAAAAAUCUAUUUCUUCAAUACACACAGUGGCGUAGUUAGAGUUUGUGCCGCUACCCCAUCAGAAUCCGCAAAAACACACACCAUAUACAUGUGAAAAAUGCUUAAACCUUUAAACAUACAAAGCGGUGUUAAUCAUGACAAAAUAUAAUUGUCAGAUCGUUUUGUAUCACGGUAACGUCCCGACAGAAAAUCAAAGUUAUUUUCAAUGAAGAAAACCAAAAGUGCCACGCCACGUAUACGUGCAGCCCGUGGCGGGUCAAAUUAACGUACGCUACUUGAUAAUCGACAUCCUAAAUAUAGUAUAUUUAUCGAGUGGAUAACAGUUACAAUUAAAUUCUAGUUAAAGAUGCAUUAUGUAAGAUUUAGAUAAACAGCUGACAGUUUUCGUUAUGAUAGUUAAAACGAUAGAUAAUGAAAAGGGAAUAUCUUGAAAAUUUCAGUCAAAAUAUUUCAUUUUUGAGCGACGUUUAUAUAGGGCUGUUUGGAGUCUCGAUUGUAAUUGCUACCGAUGUUACGAUAGUAAACCAAGUCUCGAUUAUCCAAUUUUUAAAAUUUAAUCAUUAACCGCCAAUUAUGUUUAAAUCCGUUGAAAAUCUCGAGCAUCCGAUGACACCGGAAGUUGAUUAUAUGUUUCGGCAAGAUAUUUAAUGUCCAUUUUAUAAUUUAUAUAACAUGACACAUGUAAGGCCUAAAGAAAGACUUGUAAUGGUCAGAUUUAGCUGUUGCAUAAUGCAUCUUUAAAAGUUGAUCGAAAAUAAAUGUAACCUAUUCUGGUCUCUACUAUUAUUUUCCUGAACUAUACAAAAUAUCACAUCGAAGAAAUAUAUCCUUAAAGCAUAGUAAACUUAUAGUAAACUUAUAAACCUCAUAUAGGCCUAUAUUCUUGAUGCGAGGUCUGCUCCAGGGCUAAGGACAACUCAAGUCGGCAAGUGAUCUUUCCAUUAACUUAGACAAGUCUUAGAUGAGUAUGUUGGACGGACUCCAGACUAAACAUUCGGAUAUAGACAACAUGCUUUUUGGACCAGCUACUUUUUUAUCGUGUUUAAAUGAAAGUCUAUAUUUUCUGUUUAUUCUAGAAAGAGAUUUACGUUCCACUCAACAAUAAUAAUAUAAUGUC
This is a long non-coding RNA of Patella vulgata (common limpet), 1932 nucleotides long. RefSeq lists it as uncharacterized. NCBI's taxonomy places the organism in Eukaryota, Metazoa, Mollusca, Gastropoda, Patellidae. The transcript has 3 exons. The record is from RefSeq and is a predicted model, not a curated record.